Molecule: transfer RNA, 77 nt
Filed under: Planctomycetes bacterium DG_20
Lineage: Bacteria; Pseudomonadati; Planctomycetota
Also listed under: 6 other names
Description: tRNA-Met
Rfam family: tRNA
About the family: Transfer RNA (tRNA) molecules are approximately 80 nucleotides in length.
Source: RNAcentral
CGCGGGGUGGAGCAGUCUGGUAGCUCGUCGGGCUCAUAACCCGAAGGUCGCAGGUUCGAAUCCUGCCCCCGCUACCA